RNAcentral lists this ribosomal RNA (578 nucleotides) under uncultured bacterium. RNAcentral describes it as "bacterial SSU rRNA". It matches the Rfam family "Bacterial small subunit ribosomal RNA", at positions 913 to 1500 of the family's 1533-position model. The record is from RNAcentral.
ACGGGGGCCCGCACAAGCGGAGGAACAUGUGGUUUAAUUCGAUGAUACGCGAGGAACCUUACCCGGGCUUGAACUGCAGGAGAACGAUACAGAGAUGUUGAGGCCCUUCGGGGCUCCUGUGGAGGUGCUGCAUGGUUGUCGUCAGCUCGUGCCGUGAGGUGUCGGCUUAAGUGCCAUAACGAGCGCAACCCUUGUCUGUAGUUGCCAUCAGGUGAUGCUGGGCACUCUGCGGAUACUGCCACCGUAAGGUGUGAGGAAGGUGGGGAUGACGUCAAAUCAGCACGGCCCUUACGUCCGGGGCUACACACGUGUUACAAUGGGGAGUACAGAGAGUCGGUGCAUGGCAAUGUGCAUCCAAUCCUUAAAGCUCUCCUCAGUUCGGAUUGGGGUCUGCAACCCGACCCCAUGAAGCUGGAUUCGCUAGUAAUCGCGCAUCAGCCAUGGCGCGGUGAAUACGUUCCCGGGCCUUGUACACACCGCCCGUCAAGCCAUGAAAGCCGGGGGCGCCUGAAGUCCGUGACCGCGAGGGUCGGCCUAGGGUGAAACCGGUGAUUGGGGCUAAGUCGUAACAAGGUAAC